AACGUAGGACGCGAGCGUUAUCCGGAGUUACUGGGCGUAAAGCGCGGGCAGGCGGUCUGACAAGUCUGAUGUGAAAUCUCCGGGCUUAACCGGGAGAGGCCAUUGGAAACUGACAGGCUGGAGGGCAGUAGAGGUAGGCGGAAUUCCGGGUGGAGUGGUGAAAUGCGCAGAUAUCAGGAGGAACACCGGUGGCGAAGGCGGGUCUCUGGGCCGAUACUGACGCUGAGGAGCGAAAGCGUGGGGAGCGAACAGG
Molecule: ribosomal RNA, 253 nt
Filed under: uncultured bacterium
Lineage: Bacteria
Description: partial 16S ribosomal RNA
Rfam family: Bacterial small subunit ribosomal RNA
Source: RNAcentral